GAUGAACGCUAGCGGCAGGCUUAAUACAUGCAAGUCGAGGGGGCAGCAAUGUCACCGGCGAACGGGUGCGUAACGCGUAUGCAACCUACCUACAUCAGGGGGAUAGCCCUAGGAAACUGGGAUUAACACCGCAUAACAUAUGACAAGGCAUCUUGUUAUAUUGAAAUAUUUAUAGGAUGUAGAUGGGCAUGCGUAGGAUUAGCUAGUUGGUAAGGUAACGGCUUACCAAGGCUACGAUCCUUAGGGGCUCUGAGAGGAGUAUCCCCCACACUGGCACUGAGAUACGGGCCAGACUCCUACGGGAGGCAGCAGUAGGGAAUAUUGGGCAAUGGAGGCAACUCUGACCCAGCCAUGCCGCGUGCAGGAAGACGGUCCUCUGGAUUGUAAACUGCUUUUGAAUGGGAAGAAUGUGUGGUUUGCGAGCUAUAAUGACGGUACCAUUAGAAUAAGCCACGGCUAACUACGUGCCAGCCGCCGCCGUAA
Molecule: ribosomal RNA, 483 nt
Filed under: uncultured bacterium
Lineage: Bacteria
Description: partial 16S ribosomal RNA
Rfam family: Bacterial small subunit ribosomal RNA
Source: RNAcentral